AAAUUGAAGAGUUUGAUCAUGGCUCAGAUUGAACGCUGGCGGCAGGCCUAACACAUGCAAGUCGAGCGGUAGCACAGAGAGCUUGCUCUCGGGUGACGAGCGGCGGACGGGUGAGUAAUGUCUGGGAAACUGCCUGAUGGAGGGGGAUAACUACUGGAAACGGUAGCUAAUACCGCAUAAUGUCGCAAGACCAAAGUGGGGGACCUUCGGGCCUCAUGCCAUCAGAUGUGCCCAGAUGGGAUUAGCUUGUAGGUGGGGUAACGGCUCACCUAGGCGACGAUCCCUAGCUGGUCUGAGAGGAUGACCAGCCACACUGGAACUGAGACACGGUCCAGACUCCUACGGGAGGCAGCAGUGGGGAAUAUUGCACAAUGGGCGCAAGCCUGAUGCAGCCAUGCCGCGUGUGUGAAGAAGGCCUUCGGGUUGUAAAGCACUUUCAGCGGGGAGGAAGGCGGUGAGGUUAAUAACCUCAUCGAUUGACGUUACCCGCAGAAGAAGCACCGGCUAACUCCGUGCCAGCAGCCGCGGUAAUACGGAGGGUGCAAGCGUUAAUCGGAAUUACUGGGCGUAAAGCGCACGCAGGCGGUCUGUCAAGUCGGAUGUGAAAUCCCCGGGCUCAACCUGGGAACUGCAUUCGAAACUGGCAGGCUAGAGUCUUGUAGAGGGGGGUAGAAUUCCAGGUGUAGCGGUGAAAUGCGUAGAGAUCUGGAGGAAUACCGGUGGCGAAGGCGGCCCCCUGGACAAAGACUGACGCUCAGGUGCGAAAGCGUGGGGAGCAAACAGGAUUAGAUACCCUGGUAGUCCACGCCGUAAACGAUGUCGAUUUGGAGGUUGUGCCCUUGAGGCGUGGCUUCCGGAGCUAACGCGUUAAAUCGACCGCCUGGGGAGUACGGCCGCAAGGUUAAAACUCAAAUGAAUUGACGGGGGCCCGCACAAGCGGUGGAGCAUGUGGUUUAAUUCGAUGCAACGCGAAGAACCUUACCUGGUCUUGACAUCCACAGAACUUAGCAGAGAUGCUUUGGUGCCUUCGGGAACUGUGAGACAGGUGCUGCAUGGCUGUCGUCAGCUCGUGUUGUGAAAUGUUGGGUUAAGUCCCGCAACGAGCGCAACCCUUAUCCUUUGUUGCCAGCGGUCCGGCCGGGAACUCAAAGGAGACUGCCAGUGAUAAACUGGAGGAAGGUGGGGAUGACGUCAAGUCAUCAUGGCCCUUACGACCAGGGCUACACACGUGCUACAAUGGCAUAUACAAAGAGAAGCGACCUCGCGAGAGCAAGCGGACCUCAUAAAGUAUGUCGUAGUCCGGAUUGGAGUCUGCAACUCGACUCCAUGAAGUCGGAAUCGCUAGUAAUCGUAGAUCAGAAUGCUACGGUGAAUACGUUCCCGGGCCUUGUACACACCGCCCGUCACACCAUGGGAGUGGGUUGCAAAAGAAGUAGGUAGCUUAACCUUCUGGGAGGGCGCUUACCACUUUGUGAUUCAUGACUGGGGUGAAGUCGUAACAAGGUAACCGUAGGGGAACCUGCGGUUGGAUCACCUCCUUA
This 1541-nucleotide ribosomal RNA is filed under the name Klebsiella pneumoniae. Its description in RNAcentral is "bacterial SSU rRNA". It matches the Rfam family "Bacterial small subunit ribosomal RNA". Lineage: Bacteria; Pseudomonadati; Pseudomonadota; Gammaproteobacteria; Enterobacterales; Enterobacteriaceae. The record is from RNAcentral.